This 782-nucleotide ribosomal RNA is filed under the name uncultured bacterium. RNAcentral describes it as "bacterial SSU rRNA". It matches the Rfam family "Bacterial small subunit ribosomal RNA", at positions 74 to 845 of the family's 1533-position model. The record is from RNAcentral.
GUCUCUUCGGGGAUGAUUAAACCGGCGCACGGGUGAGUAACACGUGAGUGACCUGCCUUUUAGACUGGAACAACUUACCGAAAGGUGAGCUAAUGCCGGAUGAGUUAUAUAAGUGCAUGUUUAUAUAGGAAAAGUUGGGGAGACCUGACGCUGAAAGAUGGACUCGCGUCCCAUUAGCUAGUUGGUAGGGUAAUGGCCUACCAAGGCGACGAUGGGUAGCCGGCCUGAGAGGGUGGCCGGCCACACUGGGACUGAGACACGGCCCAGACUCCUACGGGAGGCAGCAGUGGGGAAUUUUGCGCAAUGCUCGUAAGAGUGACGCAGCGACGCCGCGUGAAUGACGAAGGCCUUCGGGUCGUAAAGUUCUUUCGACAGGGAAGAAAAUGCCUAUAAGUAACUGUGUAUGUAUUGACGGUACCUGUAUAAGCAGCCCCGGCUAACUCCGUGCCAGCAGCCGCGGUAAUACGGAGGGGGCGAGCGUUGUUCGGAGUGACUGGGCGUAAAGAGCACGUAGGCGGUGUUGUAAGUCAUUAGUCAAAGACUAGAGCUCAACUUUAGUAAGGCUAGUGAUACUAUAAUACUAGAGUAUCAGAGAGGAUUGCAGAAUUCCUGGUGUAGCGGUGAAAUGCGUAGAUAUCAGGAGGAAUACCGUUAGCGAAGGCGGCAAUCUGGCUGGAAACUGACGCUGAGGUGCGAAAGCGUGGGUAGCAAACAGGAUUAGAUACCCUGGUAGUCCACGCUGUAAACGAUGGAUGCUAGGUGUUGGGCUUUUAAGUUCAGUG